GGAAAGGCCACACGAGGACACAGCGAGAAGGGUUGGUUAAGAGCUGGGUGGACAGCACAAUCACAGGCGAUGAGACACGAAGGGAAGUUUGCUGGGGGCUCUGGGAAAGGCUGCUUGACUCUUACAAAGAGGCUUCAUGAGAUAGUGCCCCUGCUCUUUCUCUGGAGGUAGCUGGAUCUGAGAGUGAUGCCAGGACCUCUGCAGCCAUCUUGUGUUCAUGAGGAGAGUCUGCCCAGGGACAAAGCCAAUAUGCAGGGAAGAACACAGAGGAGCAGGUCCAGACCCCUGGAGGCAUCUCAUCAGGGCACCUUCCCCCUGGGCUUCCCACGAGGUGACACAAUGGAUGUCGUGAGCCUUUCAGGCAUCUAAGUCAGGUGAGAGUACCUAAACCACCAAACUCCAUUCAGGGCAGCUAUUUCCUUUUUUUUUUUUUUUUUUUUGGUGAGGAAGAUUGGCCCUGAGCUAACAUUUGUUGCCAAUCUUCUUCUUUUUCUUUAGGAAGAUUGUUGCUGAGGUAACAUCUGUGCCAACCUUCCUCUAUUUUGCAUGUGGGAUGCUGCCACAGUGUGGCUUGAUAAGCAGUGUGUAGGCCCGACCCCAGGAUCCAAACUCGUGAUCCAGGGUCGUCAAAGCAGAAUGUGCGAAAUUAACCACUACACCACCGGGCCAGCUCCAGCUAUUUCCUUUUCUGUUUUCUAAAUUUAUAAACCAACUGCUUUAAUAAACAGCUUUUUAAAGAAAAUUUUUUCUACCAUUUGACACAUAUCCUCAGGUAGAUUCUCAGAAGCAGAAUUACAGGAUGAGAUGGUAUUAAUUUUUAGAGUUGCUUGAUUCAUAUUUUCAUUUGCCUUCCAGUUGGCAGCUCUACAGUCUUAA
RNAcentral lists this long non-coding RNA (876 nucleotides) under Equus caballus (horse). RNAcentral's name for it is "lncRNA (ENSECAG00000049147.1)". The record is from RNAcentral. Lineage: Eukaryota; Metazoa; Chordata; Mammalia; Perissodactyla; Equidae.